This 465-nucleotide ribosomal RNA is filed under the name uncultured bacterium. RNAcentral's name for it is "partial 16S ribosomal RNA". It matches the Rfam family "Bacterial small subunit ribosomal RNA", at positions 28 to 507 of the family's 1533-position model. The record is from RNAcentral.
GACGAACGCUGGCGGCGUGCUUAACACAUGCAAGUCGAACGGAAAGGCCCCUUUGGGGGUACUCGAGUGGCGAACGGGUGAGUAACACGUGAGUAACCUGCCCUUGACUUCGGGAUAACUUCAGGAAACUGGGGCUAAUACCGGAUAGGAAUCCUUGCUGCAUGGUGGGGGUUGGAAAGCUUCGGCGGUUUUGGAUGGACUCGCGGCUUAUCAGCUUGUUGGUGGGGUAGUGGCUUACCAAGGCUUUGACGGGUAGCCGGCCUGAGAGGGCGACCGGCCACAUUGGGACUGAGAUACGGCCCAGACUCCUACGGGAGGCAGCAGUGGGGAAUAUUGCACAAUGGGCGGAAGUCUGAUGCAGCAACGCCGCGUGCGGGAUGACGGCCUUCGGGUUGUAAACCGCGUUCAGCAGGGGCGAAGCUUGUGGUGACGGUACCUGCAGAAGAAGCACCGGCUAACUACGUG